CAUGAGUUCCCUUGAAGGCUGGACAAAUACGCAACAUCUUUAAAGCAGGAUUUGUCUUCAUUUUUAACGCCAAGUUUACGCAGAUUUUUCCUUCAAAACGGGGAAUCACUAUGACUUCAUCGCACAGUGGAACAUCUGCUUCAGGUGAGGUCAGUAGAAUAACAAAUGGCAGUUUUCAUAUUCAUAUUUGAAGACGAAGAUUAAACGUUCCAUAAAGUAUGACUUCCAGGUACGGGAGGCGUGGAAAAGUACCAACUAAAGGACGAUUAUGAACACAGUAAUACAACAAUGGGAAAUAUGUCAACAUAUUACAUUACAUUCAUUACAAUCAAAAUUAUGGAUCAACUCAGGGGUGGGCAAAUUUUUUGACAUUCGGUUACAAAAUUUGGUGGCGGGAACCUCAAAACGGAUGGACAUACUUGCUCACGGUGCGACCAAACGCAAACUCAACACAUCCACAGCAAGUAACUUCAAAGUGUUACUUCCAAAUGCCCGCAAGGUAUGCUGGGUAGUCCAGCUGAAACAACAUGAACUACGACCUUCAAGAGUAUGUUGUAAGUUUGAGAGAGAAAAAAAACAGCAAAAUGGUGGGAGAAAGAGUACCACAAGCUACCCAGCAUGCCUUGCGGCAUGAAUAUAUGUUUUUUUUGGCAUGGUUAAAAGGGAAAAGAAUUUGAAAAUGUCCGGUGGGUCGGUCCACAAGCCACAGUUUUCCCACCCAUGAAUUCUGUGUGGAAUUUAUUAAUGAUGAAUCAUUUCUAGAAUGGUGGGAGAAAGAGUACCAUAAGGUACCCAGCAUGCCUUGCGGCAUGAAUAUAUUUUUUUUUGGCAUGGUUAAAAGGGAAAGGAAUUUGAAAAUGUCCGGUGGGUCGGUCCACAAGCCACAGUUUGCCCACCCAUGAAUUCUGUAUGGAAUUUAUUAAUGAUCAAUCAUUUCUAGAAUGGUGGGAGAAAGAGUACCAUAAGAUACCCAGCAUGCCUUGCGGCAGGAAUAUAUGGGUCUUUUUUUGGCAUGGUUAUAAGGGAAAGGAAUUUGAAAAUGUCUGGUGUGUCGGUCCACAAGCCACAGUUUGCCCACCCAUGAAUUCUGUAUGGAAUUUAUUAAUGAUCAAUCAUUUCUAGAAUGGUGGCAGAAAGAGUACCAUAAGCUACCCAGCAUGCCUUGCGGCAGGAAUAUAUAUUGUACAAAAAAAAGAGAAAGAACUACAGUACUUACGUAGGCGCAAUAAAACAUAGAAAAGACCAAUUCCAUUACGUCUUCCACUUAUGGUAGCAACGUACCAAAGAAAAGGAAAGUGAAAUCAGACAUUGUUAAAAGCUCAGUGGAAAAGUCCAGGCUAAGCAGCUCAAACACUGUGACCAUCAUCAAGGAUAACAUCUUGAACAUGUGAAAGGAUCAGUAUGGUUUACUAUGAAGUGAGCAGCGUAAUGGUCUCUCUAUUGUGACUUCCUUGUGCAGUAUGCCCCUGUGUUCUGUGUACAUGAUUAGAAAUAAUUUUGGUAUAAGUUCCGACUUCCUCUGCAACUUAACAUACAUUAGUUAACUUAACUUGUUCAUAAGUUGAGGACCACCUGUGGUCAAUCAUCUACCCAGACUUCCUAGUUUCUGGAGAAAAGGUGAUGUGUGCUAUCCGAGCCGAGAUGCUUUAAAUGGAGCCUAUUAAAGAGGUGUGUGUCAGUAUGCAUCACAGGAGGCACUUCACCCUGACGGACACCCGUGUGAACACAACGUGCACGCUAGGCGGAAACGUUGGGAGUCUCACUGAGUCACUGGCAGGGUGUCAGAGGUGAGCAGGGACGGUCUGCAGGGCAUCUUCCGUUGUUCGAUGGAUGUUGACGUUCUAGAAAGAGCAACACAUCAAGUGUCAGAGCUCUUGUCUAAGAAGUAGAUUGGCGCGUGUUGUAUGUGUAUCAUGAUAAGAGUUUUGUCUUGAAGUGUAACAAUAUGGGGAAUGUAAUCGUUUAUUUUUGGGUCGGUCUCUAUAAUCUUUGUGCCAUGCUCCGUCCGGCCUGAUUUGACUGACAGUUCUCUGAAAUGUACUCAAGCACGGUACACAGGAGGUCGUCACAGAGGUCAUCCUGAGCAUGCUCUGUAGACAAAUCUAAUCAUGAAUCGGAUGGUUCAUUCCACCAGUUCAAACUGGCAACUAUCCAUAUGCAUAAAUACUCAAAAUAGGCUCUCUAUGUAUAUAAUGACAUUCCUCCUCCUGCCAGUUAUGACACCUGGGAUCUAAAUCAUACAAAACAACUCAAGGUGAGCCAUAAAGUCAAGUUGCAAAGUAAGUGUUGUAUCAUGAAGUGAUGGCCAAAGCCCAAAAGCUGUGGAGCGGUGUGAGUGGGGGGGCCAGCAGGGGAAAUGCAGUAGAAACUAAUGUAAAUCACCAUGCAGGCUGCAAAGUACUUGUGGUACAGUAUGUCUGUGUUGAAUGCAAAGUAGAACCCUGGAGGUCUUGAAGAAAUGACUAUGACGAGAUUGGGUUUGGAGCAGUGCUGAGUAAGUGAAGUUUAUUUAGAAACAGUUAACAGAAAUCUUUUCUUCAUUCUGGUGAGUGAUUUUUUUUUCCCAUAAAAGACACUUCACAUGGUUUUUAACAAUAUCAUUGUACUUUUAUGAGUUUUAGUAGACAGUAUGACAUUUGACACACAGCAGUUGUAAAGGAGAACAUUGGAUGACAAAAGAAAAGUUGUGCAAUAUUGCAAAAAUUCCAUAAGGUGUCUUAUCGCCUACGAAGAUAUCGAUUUAGGAUGAGAAUCAUGAGAAAAACUACAUACAAAAAAAACUUCAUUAUUGCUUCAGAUGCGAGAGCUCAGCAUCAGGUUAACAAGCUCUCCAUUUAUUCUCCAAAAAUGGGAGAAAGUAUUAUUACUUAAAAA
Non-coding RNA from Doryrhamphus excisus (bluestripe pipefish), 2874 nucleotides. Lineage: Eukaryota; Metazoa; Chordata; Actinopteri; Syngnathiformes; Syngnathidae. The record is from RefSeq and is a predicted model, not a curated record.